UUGGAGGGCAAGUCUGGUGCCAGCAGCCGCGGUAAUUCCAGCUCCAAUAGUGUAUAUUAAAGUUGUUGCAGUUAAAAAGCUCGUAGUUGAAUUUCGGGGUCUGUCUAUCGGUCGGGCUUCACUGUCCGUACUGGUUUGAUGGAUUCUUACCUUCUGAAUAACCAUCAUGCCAUUAAUUUGGUGCGUUGGGGAAGCAGAGCUAUUACCUUGAAAAAAUUAGAGUGCUUAAAGCAGGCUAGCGCUUGAAUAGAUUAGCAUGGAAUAAUGAAAUAGGACGGCAUGGUUCUAUUUUGUUGGUUUCUAGGAUCACCGUAAUGAUUAAUAGGGAUAGUUGGGGGCAUUAGUAUUCAAUUGUCAGAGGUGAAAUUCUUGGAUUUAUUGAAGACUAACUACUGCGAAAGCAUUUGCCAAGGAUGUUUUCAUUAAUCAAGAACGAAAGUUAGGGGAUCGAAGACGAUCAGAUACCGUCGUAGUCUUAACCAUAAACUAUGCCGACUAGGGAUCGGAUGAUGUAUUAUCCC
Molecule: ribosomal RNA, 521 nt
Filed under: uncultured Acaulospora
Lineage: Eukaryota; Fungi; Glomeromycota; Glomeromycetes; Diversisporales; Acaulosporaceae
Description: SSU rRNA
Rfam family: Eukaryotic small subunit ribosomal RNA
Source: RNAcentral